GCGGGUGUGGCGGAAUGGCAGACGCGUCAGAUUUAGGAUCUGAUGUUAAUUCGUGCAGGUUCAAGUCCUGUCACCCGCA
RNAcentral lists this transfer RNA (79 nucleotides) under Ruminococcus sp. RNAcentral describes it as "tRNA-Leu". It matches the Rfam family "tRNA". Rfam says of the family: Transfer RNA (tRNA) molecules are approximately 80 nucleotides in length. Lineage: Bacteria; Bacillati; Bacillota; Clostridia; Eubacteriales; Oscillospiraceae. The record is from RNAcentral.